This 814-nucleotide ribosomal RNA is filed under the name Streptomyces sp. RNAcentral's name for it is "bacterial SSU rRNA". It matches the Rfam family "Bacterial small subunit ribosomal RNA", at positions 91 to 917 of the family's 1533-position model. The record is from RNAcentral. Lineage: Bacteria; Bacillati; Actinomycetota; Actinomycetes; Kitasatosporales; Streptomycetaceae.
GAUAGUGGCGAACGGGUGAGUAACACGUGGGCAAUCUGCCCUUCACUCUGGGACAAGCCCUGGAAACGGGGUCUAAUACCGGAUAACACUCCCUCUCUCAUGGGUGGGGGUUAAAAGCUCCGGCGGUGAAGGAUGAGCCCGCGGCCUAUCAGCUUGUUGGUGAGGUAAUGGCUCACCAAGGCGACGACGGGUAGCCGGCCUGAGAGGGCGACCGGCCACACUGGGACUGAGACACGGCCCAGACUCCUACGGGAGGCAGCAGUGGGGAAUAUUGCACAAUGGGCGAAAGCCUGAUGCAGCGACGCCGCGUGAGGGAUGACGGCCUUCGGGUUGUAAACCUCUUUCAGCAGGGAAGAAGCGAAAGUGACGGUACCUGCAGAAGAAGCGCCGGCUAACUACGUGCCAGCAGCCGCGGUAAUACGUAGGGCGCAAGCGUUGUCCGGAAUUAUUGGGCGUAAAGAGCUCGUAGGCGGCUUGUCACGUCGGGUGUGAAAGCCCGGGGCUUAACCCCGGGUCUGCAUUCGAUACGGGCUAGCUAGAGUGUGGUAGGGGAGAUCGGAAUUCCUGGUGUAGCGGUGAAAUGCGCAGAUAUCAGGAGGAACACCGGUGGCGAAGGCGGAUCUCUGGGCCAUUACUGACGCUGAGGAGCGAAAGCGUGGGGAGCGAACAGGAUUAGAUACCCUGGUAGUCCACGCCGUAAACGGUGGGAACUAGGUGUUGGCGACAUUCCACGUCGUCGGUGCCGCAGCUAACGCAUUAAGUUCCCCGCCUGGGGAGUACGGCCGCAAGGCUAAAACUCAAAGGAAUUGACGGG